ACAUAGAGGGAAAAGAAAAUAGAGUGAGAGUGAGAAACUUUUGGGGUAGAGUGAGGCUCUUGGGAAAAUUCUAUGAGUGGGUGUACAAGGGAUUUGGGAUUGGGUUAUGUCGAUUUAACUCAUGUGUACUUGUACUGUUAUUCUCAUAGUGAAGAGCAAUAUCUCUCCGGGGACGUAGGCAGGAUUUUUGCCGAACCUCGUAAAUUUCUCGGUGUCUUUAUUUCUUGUAAUUUUAUUCUGUUCAACUGAGUGUGAUUUUGGGUGUGGUUGUAAUCUGAAUCUCGUUUCCGCACUAAUGAACGGGCCAAGGCGCAACAACGCGGAGCUCAACGGGAAGCGGGGGAGGGAGGGGAGGGGGAAGAAGGUAUCAGGAGAGCAAUGGGAGGGGAAGGAGAGGGGUCGGGAGGCCACCGAAGAGGCCGGAGACUGCGGCAGCAGAAGCGGGGAGUAGGAAGAGAGGGAGAGAGAAUGGGGAGGCUGAUCAGGUGGGGAGUGCAGGGAGGCGGAGAAAGCGUACAAGGAGGUGAAUGCGGCCAUUGUUGUAAGCUGUAAAUUAUUUUUGGCAUGGUUUGGGUUAAUUUCUGGUCUUGUUUCGUUGCUAUUGCUAGGUUUUUACAGUCUUUUUUUUUUAUACCUUUUUACCCAAGUGCGGUCAAAAGAAUUACUAGAGAGGGAUAGGGAGAGACAGAGAUAGAUGUGAUGUGAACUUGUAGAAUGUUUUGGGGCAUCUCUUUUUGCAUAUACAGAUGCUGAUGAGUAGCAUCAUCAGUGAGGACCUUUUUCGUUCUAGUUUCAAUAUUGUUCUUGUUUUUUUUAGUGUGGGCUUUUUUGGUGCAAUAGGAAAUAAGCUGGGUCCAAAACAUCCGAAAACAAAGGAAGAAAUUAAGAUAAUAGUAAAGAAAUAUACUGAGAAAGAUAAUACAAAUGCAAAUGACGCAUUACUG
This 944-nucleotide long non-coding RNA is filed under the name Malus domestica (apple). Its description in RNAcentral is "long non-coding RNA (MDOM_LNC009839)". The record is from RNAcentral. Lineage: Eukaryota; Viridiplantae; Streptophyta; Magnoliopsida; Rosales; Rosaceae.